GUUUGGGGAGAUCUAAUCGCACCGUGUCGAGGGCUCGAGGCUAUCCGUGCGCGCUUCUCUGCCACGCCACCGCUCCGGCUGUACGCGGGCCGCCCCCGCUGCCGCUCUGGCUUUGUGCCUCUGCGCGGGCCGCCGCCGCUCCGGCUCUACGCGGGCCGCCACCCCUCGGCCGUGUGCCGCUGCGCGGGCCGCCGCCGCCUCAGGUGCGAGCCCCGGCUGCAACAAGGUCUGGGUGGCGCCGCCGGGCAAGAGCCACCACCCUCCUCACCGCUCGCCUCUGCCUCAACCGUCGCUUAAGCGGGGAUUAAGGUGGCGGUGGUCUACUACCUCUGCCGCAGCUGUUUGCCCGCAGAUGUGAUUGACCGGCUCAACGUGUUGAAAGGGAAGGGGAUGGCAACCAUGUACCCGUGGUACUGCAGGAGAGGUGCUACAAGAACAGCUUUGUGUGGCACGACAUCUCCGAGGAAGACCCUGGGCUCCCCGCGCAGGGGCAACGAGUACAUCCUCAAGGGUUCCAAGCUCCUCGAUUACAUGAACUGGACACAACUCAUGCAACUUUUUCAAAAUCUACGAGGCGAAGCCCAUAUUGGAGACGACAGAAUGGAGCUGAACGCUGUGACGCAUGAACGGAACGGGGUGCGCAGGAAUAAGGAUCACGUGGCUGCUUGAGAGGCCAGGAAAAUGGUUUAGUGGGGAUCCUCUAUUUAGGUCGUAGGAAGAAGGCGAUGGAAUCGAGAAGAAUCGUUAGGAUCCGAUGAAGUUGUGCAGCGGGAAGGAGAAAAGCACCCAAAGAUCAAUCAGGUGAGAUGAGUUCCCUAUCACUCCAUCCCUGUCUUGGUGAACUUGGCAACCGAACCAGGCUCAUCCUCUUCUGUGAAUAAAUUUUUAGUCUCAUCGAUCAGCCGUGAAUAGAAGCACUAGAUGGAAAAUGUUGCAAUUUGAAUUGUAUGAUUAGAACAACUGGGUGACUGCUUCAAGGGCAGCUGGCAGAGAGAUAGGUGGGAGGUAGGGGAUCAGAGUGUCGAAGUUCUACUUUUUUACAAUCUUGGUAUUAUUAUAAGGUUUGCCAUUUACAGUUGUUCCGAUUUUCAGCUGCAGCUUUUUUUUUACAGGUUUGCCAUUCAAAUACCUUUUUGUUUGUCCCAGGUUAUAUUAUUUUCCUAUCACGCCAUGUUCCCUUAUCAUUAUUCACAGUUUUUAGUUGCCUCCAAUAUAUUCUGCUCAGUGUACUAUGUAUUGCUGAUUCUGACAUUUCAAGAGGCGAGAGGUGUGACUAUACAGCUCUGGAGAGUAAUGAGAGCUGAUUGGGGUUUGCCAGAUUUGGAACAGUGCACUUCGAACUCAAGGGAGUGGAUUUUAAGCCUUUUUUCCAGUUUUUCUCAGGAACAAAAUGCGGUUAUAAUGAUGACCCUUUGGUGUAUUUGGCACGUUUACAAUGAUCUUACUAACAACAAACCUGCUCCUCCGACUGAAUCCUCGCGACCAUUCCUAAUUUGUGAUGUUAAAGGUAAGCAGGUGGUUAAUGUGUCUGGAUUUCAGAAGGGAAGACACAGGAACUGGGAAAAACCUGCCACUAAAGCAACCUGGCUCCAUCCUGUUCGUUCUGGACUUGAACUCGAUGUUGAUGGUUCUUUCUUCGAAGAUGGUUCGGCUGGGGCUGGUAUGGUCCUUCGCGACCGAGAUGGCAAGCCAAUUUUCAUGGUGUGUAGAUAUCUUUUCCAUUGUCCGGAUCCAUUAAGCACGGAGCUGGCUGCAUGGAGGAGGGCAUCCAUCUUGCCCAGACCUGGACGAGUCAGCCUUUCUCUGUGGAGAGUGACUUUGAUGAGGCCAUUUCUCUUAUUGAAGCUACUGACCGGAAUCUACAAAAAUCAGGUGUCGUCUAUCAGAGAACUCAUCUCGCUCAGACCAGGUGUUUGAGUAAGCAAGAUCACACGAGAUCAAAAUACUGUUGCUCAUCUUUUGGCAAACUCGCUUGGUGGCGACGUUUGGACUUGAUGCCUGUCGGACAGGUCAGCUUGAUGGAGUGGUGGUCUGGUCUCUCGCUUGGUGGCAGAAAGGUUUGCCGGGAUUUUGCUACGGGAAGCAUACUUAUCUGCUGGUGCCUUUGGCGACACAGAAAUGCGAUUGUCUUCGAGGGGGCAAGACCUUGUGUGUCACAGGUUGCGCACACUAUAGAACAGGAGGGCACCGUUUGGAUGAGUGCGGGGUUGUUCAAAGAUGAGAUCAUGAGUUCUUUUGUAAGUGCGGGUGAGUCGUGGACUGUAAGCGAGUAGUUCAUAACUCUAACGCCCUCGGAUAUGUAACCGCGUCGCGGAAAUUCUUUUGUAAAAUAAUUGUACUUCUUUUGGCAAACUGUGGUAGAAUUGAUAAUUACACUUCUUGCUGGCUUGUAGAAUUCCUCUCUUUUGUAAGUAAUGCCAUGAGAUACGAUUGUAACCAUGUUCUGAAUGAAUGAAAGUUUCUCCACCCGCAAAA
Molecule: RNA transcript, 2475 nt
Organism: Brachypodium distachyon (stiff brome)
Lineage: Eukaryota; Viridiplantae; Streptophyta; Magnoliopsida; Poales; Poaceae
Exons: 4
Source: RefSeq, a predicted model, not a curated record